Molecule: ribosomal RNA, 359 nt
Filed under: Tetragnatha sp.
Lineage: Eukaryota; Metazoa; Arthropoda; Arachnida; Araneae; Tetragnathidae
Description: partial large subunit ribosomal RNA
Source: RNAcentral
AAUCAUUAGCCUCUUAAUUAGAGGCUAGAAUGAAUGGUUUAACAUUUCCUUAACUUUUUUAAAAAUUAAUAUAAAACUUAUAUUAAAUAUAAAAAUAUAUUUAUUUACAAAUUAGACGACAAGACCCUUUCAAACUUUACUAUAGUUUAGCUGGGGUAGCUUAAUAAUAAUAAUCUUAUUAGUAUUUAUAAAAUAGACCCAAUUUAAAAAUUGAUUAAAUGAACAAGUUACUGAAGGGAUAACAGCAUAAUAAAUUUAUAUAGCUCUUAUUAAAAAAUUAGUUUAUGACCUCGAUGUUGAAUUAUUUUACUUCUACACGCAAGAGUAUAGAAAGUAGGUCUGUUCGACCUUUAAAUUUU